AGUGGAGUGAAUGCCAGGUGUGCUGCUUCCAGUUCCAGGGAAGAUGUUCCCAUCCUAAGAUCCCCGGAGAUGGCAAGAGGUCUCUGGACAUGCUGGAUUGCUCAGGACGGUGGUGUGGCAGUGGAGUGAAUGCCAGGUGCCCUGCUUCCAUUUCCAGGAAAGAUCUUCCCAUCCUAAGAUACCUGGAGAUGGCAAUGGGUAUCUGGACAUGCACAGCAUAAGGUUUUCUUGCCGCUGCUGGAUCAUUCUUGAUGAAAAAUUUCCACAGAUAAACUGUAUAGAAUGAUGCAGCACUUCAGUAAAUAAAGUUCAACAUGGAACUAUCAGAGGUUUUUUAUGAAAGCUAUUUUUUCACCUCAAGAACUGACAUGAUAGAGAGUAUCAUGGAUAAGUCUGACAUCAAAACCUGAGAAGCUGGUGGGAAUUCCCAUACGAUUGGGUGUCAUGGAAUCCCAUAGAAUGUCAUUGUCGAACCAAUGAAGUAUUGAUUUUGUCAUUUGUACCAGCGCCCUUAUCUGGGAAU
Long non-coding RNA from Galeopterus variegatus (Sunda flying lemur), 523 nucleotides. RefSeq lists it as uncharacterized. NCBI's taxonomy places the organism in Eukaryota, Metazoa, Chordata, Mammalia, Dermoptera, Cynocephalidae. The transcript is spliced from 5 exons. The record is from RefSeq and is a predicted model, not a curated record.